GGAUUUCUGCUUCAGAUGUGGCCGUAAGAGAUGCGACUUCCAGCUGUGUAUUCUGUGUGUUAAAUUACCUCUUUACGGUUAGGUACAAUUACGACGAUCAUCCUCUCAAACUCACUUAUGCUAGUGUUAAAAAAUGAGCUCGAUGAGUACUAUUGUGACAUAUGCGAAGGAAAACGAGAUCCAAAACAUUGGUUCUACUCCUGCCUGGAUUGUGACUUUGAAUGUCAUACUCAUUGCAUUAGAGGGAGGUAUCCGCAAGUCAAGUUAGGGGGCUCUUACAAGCAUCAUGAUCACCAGCACGACGUCGCCCUUGUUUAUAAGAGAAAAGGCAAGAUUCCUAAUGAUAAGAGAGAGCGCUUACUUCCUUGUUCCAAGUGUUCUAUGAUUUGCAAAGGAUUGGUUUGUGAAUGUUUGGUGUGUGGUAUUAAUAUGCACCUAAGGCAUAUAAGAAAGCAAAAGCAUAUAAAAUUUCUAUAUUUUGAAAUCUUGCUUUUCAUUGUUUGCGAUAGGCCUGGCAAUCGGGUCGUGUCAGUCGUGUUCGUGUCGUUUUCGUGUAACACCUGUUAGCUUAACGGGUCGUGUCGUGUCACACCCGUUAUCUUAACGGGUCCUUAACAGGUCGGGUCACUUUACCCGUUGGGUAAAGUGACCCGACCCGACCCGUUAUGACCCGUUAUGACCCGUUAAGAAAAAUAUUUUUUUUUUCUUAAACUUGCACAUACUACAUAUUGUCACAUAAAUAUUACUUUAAAACAUUAAAACGCAUUUGUUGUUUAAAUACUACAUCAACACUCGAAAAUAAGAGUAAUAAAAAAAAUCCACACAUUACUAAUCUAUUACAAAUAUUAAAUAUGCAAGGAUAUGCAAAAUGAAAGCGUUUUUGUUUUCAAGGUUGUGAAGUCUUUUUCAAAAGUUUAAACCUUGUCAAUGGAACUCAAAGCUUGCAUGCUAUUCAUUUUACAAAAUCCUCAAUUUACGUCGAUCAUCAUGAGGAAGUUGCAUUGGAACUUUGGCUUGAUCUAUUGCCUUCUUCAAGAGUUAUGUUUGAUAAUGUUUUCAGUAAGAUUUUCCAUGUCAGAACUCUCUUCCGCAUAAACUAAAUAUAGAAAAACCAAACAUUAAAAAUCAUUCAAAUUAUAAGAAAUUUACCAAAAUAAUUAUGAAAAGAAAUAAAACAAUAGUACUAUACCAUAUAAAAAUAUAUUACCUCCUUUUCCAAAUAGCCAAUCUCGUGUGCACAACAAAGCUUGAACUGUUUCUGGUAACAAUGAACUACGAUACUGAUCUAGUACUCUACCCCCAAUACUAAAUGCAGAUUCUGAUGCAACAGUUGAAAUGGGAAUUGUUAACACAUCUCGUGCUAACUGAGAAAGUAUCGGAUAAUGAAAACGCUCCAUUUGCCACCAAGAAAGAACAUCUAUGUCUACUUUUUCUAUCUAUUCUUUUAUCCUCCAAAUACUUCUGCAAUUCAGUUUUUUCAAUCGAACUUGAACCAUCGUAAUUAUUAUCAAAAUCCUACAUCAUAAAAAAUCAUGCAUCAUGUUAAUUUCAAAUAUAAUAUCAACACUUUUUAUACUACUACUACAAUCUACAAAUAUAUAAAGUAAAUAAAAAUAAACUUAGGUUACCUCAAAGAGAACAUCUACAGAUUCUGUUUGAUGAUUAGGCACUGAAUUCCUUGGAGUAUUUGAAUUAUCAAGAUGUGAAAGUUUUUCCAAGUACACACCAAAAAGAACAUUCAAUUUGUCAUUCACCUUUGUAAAUUCGACCGAAUUCACACCAUGAAGCUUUGUGUAAGCCCAAUCCACAAAAUUCAAUUUAUAACGAGGGUCUAAGAUGAUUGCAAUUGCCAAAAUCAAACUAUACUCUGACCAAUACUUCUCAAACUUCAUGUACAUGUAAGUCGCCAUCUUAUUCAUGAAACUUUCAGAGGCAUCCAUGGCUGCCUUAAUUUGAAGUUGGAUUACGAACACCUUAGGGAAGAACAAAUUUGAUGUAGGGUACUUUGUCCCAGAGAAUAAGCACGUAACCUCAUAAAAGUACUCCAAAAACUUGGAAAUCUUCAUUAUUUUAUCCCACUCUUCAGAAGAAGGACAAGUAUUAAAAUUGGAAUCACUCAACCCUAAAUGAAUCAAAGCAUAUCGAUAGAAAAUUGCAUUAUCUAGCAUAAUGUAGGUUGAGUUCCAUCUAGUAGGGACAUCUUGUCUCAAACCUCUCCUACUAUCCAAUAUCCCCACUUGUCUAACACAUUCAUAAAACUUUAGUUUUCUAGCCUCAGAGCCCUUUAUAUACUUGACGCAUUCACGAAUCUUUAUCACCGAAGAAUCAAUUUCUUUAAGUCCAUCUUGAACUAUCAAAUUCAAGACAUGAGCACAACAACGCACAUGAAAGAAGUCACCAUUCAUCACGAGAAGACUUCUGAGAUUCAAUUGAUUCUUCAAAAUGCUAACAAAAGAAAUAUUUGAAGAAACAUUAUCCAAAGUAAUAGAAAAUAACUUCUUCUCAAUUCCCCACUCAGUCACCAAUGCAUUAAUUUUCUCAGAUAAUGCAACACCAGUAUGAGGAGGAGGCAUGUGACAAAAACUUAAAAUUCUCUUAUGCAAUUUCCAAUCUUUGUCUACAAAGUGAGCAGUAAGAGCAAGAUACCCAUCAGUGCAUUGCGAGGUCCAUAAGUCUGAUGUCAAACAAAUUCUACCUUCAACCGAGUCUAGCAAAUUAUGAAGCCUUUGUUUUUCAUUUUUGAACAUCCUUAACACACAGGCUUUAAUUGUAUUUCUACACGGUAACUUAAUAUCAGGAGAUAUAUAUGCAAACAAAGCCCUAAUUCCCUCAUAUUCAGAAAAACUAAAAGGAAGAUUAUGCUUGAUGAUGGCCUCUACCAAUAAACCACGAAAUACCACCGGAUCAAAGUUUUGGGAACAGAAUUCAGACACCGACAAUCCAACAGUCUGUCCAGGGCAUGUUUUCAAAUGUCUAUUCAUAUUACCCGUCCCAUGAUGACUAUCAUCUAUUACCAGUUUCUUACAAUCUUUACAUUGAGCACGACUUUUACCAUCUUCAAAAAUAGUAGUCAAUUUGUUGAAAGUUUUCCAAACAGGAGACCUGAGUGUUCGCUUACCUAAUUUGAUCACUCUAGCCUUUUUCUUUGCCGGACUUGUAUUUGUAUCUUCCAUAUUUUCACUUCCAUGAUCAGGUUGUAUUCCCAUUGUCACUUCCACUGAUCCUCCAUCACUAAGGUUCGUAAAAUCUUGCUCUACAACAUCCAUUGCUUCAAGAAAGAAAAACAAAACUAUAAAAUCUUGCUCAUACCAAUUUCAUACCAUAUCUCUAUUUCAAAUUCACUUAUCCAUUUCAAUUUCAAAUAGAUCAGCACAUAGAUCAACAAAUAGAUCAUCAUUUCAUUUCAAUUUCAAUUUCAAAUUCAUACAUCCAUUUCAAAUUCAUACAUCAACAAAUAAUACUAUUUUUGUUUUUGCAUUAAUCCAUAUAAUAUAAGGCAUAACGGAUGCAAAGUUAACCAAAAAAUGAUGAAUAGCUAGCCACUGUGAAAAUGAUGCAAAGUUAACUAUAAGAUAAUGAUUAGGGUUAUCCCCAUCAACUCAACACCUCUCCAUUUCUUUCCAAUAAUUCAUCCAAUUCAGAAACCCUCCUCACCAACCCUUCUAUUUCUAUACAAAAAGAUGAAUUGUUAACCAUUGCGAAAACAUGUGGUUAUCAGAUAACAAUACGGGUGUUGGACAAAGGGCAUGAACUUCAAAGCUUUCCCCAUCAUAGCCUCAUUUAGAUGUGUUUGAUAUAUAUGGUUCUGUCUUUUUAACACACAUUUAGAAACCUUAAUUUCAGAAAAUCGUAAUUCCUGUGAUUAUUAUUUAUAUCAAUUAGCAAAUACCAAAUAGAUCAGCAAAUUCAGCACAACAAACUGAGAGCAAAGAAAUCAUGAAGCAAAUUAACCUUCUCCAAAAGCCCUAAUUUAGAAACCCUAAUUUCAAAAAUUCAUAAUUCCAAAAGUCCUAAUUCAGAAACCCUUGAGUUCAUUGUAGGAAUUUUUUACCUUGUGCAGUGAGGUGAGGAGUGCGGACUGAGAUCGAGAGCUCGAUUCAGGAGCCGUAUUUGGGUGGUACUGGUAUGGAGUCCGGAGUCUGGAAUCUGGACAGUAUGUGAACCAGUGAAGUCGCGAUUUAGGUGAUGACUGAGGACUGACAGAGUGACUGAGUGAGGGGUGACGGUCUGGGUGAGGUCGAGGACGAUGAGGAGGGUGAUCCGGUGAGGUCACUGAGACUGAGGUGAGGGUGACUCGGUGACGGUGAGGCGCCGCGUGAGGUCGAUCGAGAGAGAGACAGAAAGAAUGAUUUGAGUUUCUGAUUUGAGAAAGAAUAGAAGGAUAGCCUACAAUGGACGGCUGAGAUUAAAUCUCAGCCGAUCCAAUGGUCAUCAAUUUUUUAAAAUUUAAUUUAAUAUAUAUAUAUAUAUAUAAUUAUUAUAGUUUUUAGGGGUAUAAAAUUUUGUGGCAUCCAUCUACUAGUGUAAAUAUUUUAAAUUGAAGAUCGAAUUCAUUCAUUGUAUUCAUAUAGGGUCAAGGAGUGUAGUUGUAAAAAAUCAUCAAAAUCGGAGUUAAAAAUAACCGUUAAAUCGUGAUUUUUUGUUUAUAACCGUCGAAACGUUUUGUCUUGUUCCUUGAUCUCUGAAUGUUUUUUUUUUGCAAUUUUUGGCGUACUUGAUCUCAAAGUAUAUACAAACAUGUUUUGACGGUUGGAUCGUUGAAAUUAGUUUCGUAGAAUAUGUAUCCCAUCAAAACAAUAGAUUCACUAACACUUAAGAGUUUAUUCAUACUUUCAUCAAGUAUAACAUAAGAUUUUUGUGGUAUCCACUAGUGUAAAUAUUUUAAAUUGAAGAUCGAAUUCAUUCAUUAUAUUCAUAUAGGGUCAAGGAGUGUAGUUGUAAAAAAUCAUCAAAAUCGGAGUUAAAAUAACCGUUAAAUCGUGAUUUUUUUGUUUAUAACCGUCGAAACGUUUUGUCUUGUUCCUUGAUCUCUGAAUGUUUUUUUUUUGCAAUUUUUGGCGUACUUGAUCUCAAAGUAUAUACAAACAUGUUUGACGGUUGGAUUGUUGAAAUUAGUUUCGUAGAAUACGUAUCCCAUCAAAACAAUAGAUUUACUAACACUUAAGAGUUUAUUCAUACUUUCAUCAAGUAUAACAUAAGAUUUUGUGGUAUACACUAGUGUAAAUAUUUUAAAUUGAAGAUCGAAUUCAUUCAUUGUAUUCAUAUAGGGUCAAGGUGUGUAGUUGUAAAAAAUCAUCAAAAUCAGAGUUAAAAUAACCGUUAAAUCGUGAUUUUUUGUUUAUAAUCGUCGAAAAGUUUUGUCUUGUUACAUGAUCUCUGAAUGUUUGUUUUUUGUAAUUUUUGGCGUAUGAGAUCUCGAAGUAUAUACAAACAUGUUUGACGGUUGGAUCGUUGAAAUUAGUUUCGUAGAAUAUGUAUCCCAUCAAAACAAUAGAUUCACUAACACUUAAGAGUUUAUUCAUACUUUCAUCAAAUAUAACAUAAGAUUUUGCGGUAUCCACUAGUGUAAAUAUUUUAAAUUGAAGAUCAAAUUCAUUCAUUGUAUUCAUAUAGGGUCAAGGAGUGUAGUUGUAAAAAAAUCAUCAAAAUCGGAGUUAAAAUAACCGUUAAAUCGUGAUUUUUUUGUUUAUAACCGUCAAAACGUUUUGUCUUGUUCCUUGAUCUCUGAAUGUUUUUUUUUUUGCAAUUUUUGGCGUACUUGAUCUCAAAGUAUAUACAAACAUGUUUGACGGUUGGAUCGUUGAAAUUAGUUUCGUAUAAUUCGUAUCCCAAGAAGUUCAAUGGUGUGUGUGUUACGUAUAUAUAUAUAUGUUAAGUAGAUUUAAAUCUAUUUAUUUUGUAUGUAUAAUUAUUAUAGUUUUUAGGGGUAUAAAAUUUAAUAUAUAUAUAUAAUUAUUAUAGUUAAUAUUUUGGGGGUAUAAUUAUUAUAGUAUAUAUAAAAUUAUAAUUAUUAUAAUUAUUAUAGCUAAUCUAAUAUAUAUAUUUUGGGGGUAUAAUUAUUAUAGUAUAUAUAAUUAUUAUAAUUAUUAUAGUUAAUCUAAUAUAUAUAUAUAUAUAUAUAAUUAUUAUAGUUCUUAGGGUAUAAAAUUGUUAAAUUAAUAUAUAUAAUUAUUAUAGUAUUUUUUAGGGUUAUAAAAUUAUUAAAUUAAUAUUCUGCUUAUCGUGUAUCGUGUUACUCACGUGUAUACCCGAACCAACCCGUUAUCUUAACAGGUGCUUAUCGGGUUACCCGAUAACGACCCGUUUCGUUAUCGUGUCGACUCGAACACCUGUUAAUUUCGUGUCGUGUCGUGUCGGAUUAUCGGGUCGUGUCAGGAAUUGCCAGGCCUAGUUUGCGAGCAUAUCAGAAUGUGUGUAAGCGUGUGCUCGUGCGCGUGUUUGUGAAUAUGACCACUCUUUAUCAAGGACCAUAAACCACGGCGGAAGAAAACAAACAAUUGUCUAAACAACCUACAUUUGUUUUGCUGUGAUAAGUAAAAAGGACAACAGCAUAUAUUCACAGAGAUGACUGUUAUCAAGCUUAAAGGGAACGACAUCCAUGACUCAGCACGGGAACACAUAAUUACAUAGACUUAAUAAAAUUAAAAUAAAAUCUGUUAACCCUUAAACUCACCUGAUUUUCCUUUGUGGAGUAUUUGAGUAUCCUCAGCUAUCAAUUGCGACAAAGUGUCAACACUAACCUUCUGCCAACAUGUGCAUAAGAAGUCAGAGUAAGACAUUAUUCAUUUGCUGUGAGAGAGAGAGAGAGAGAGAGAGAGAGAGAGAGAGUUCAGAUGAUACCAUGGAAAACCAUUACAUAGGCCACAUCUCUAGUUCACAUAUCUAAAUUGUGAAUUCAUUGAAUGAUGAAUGAUGUUGUAUAUGAAGCUACAAAUAUACGACAAGCAAUAAUGAUAGAUAAAUUCAUCUAUAUUGGUUUAUUAAAGUUGGUCAAACAUACCUUUUGUUUUGAUCGGGAUUUAGUUUGGUAGUUUCAUUCUAAUUUCCAUAGUUUAUAAUAGUUAACCAACUAAAAGUGCUUUCUUUUGAUUACUAUCUAAUAUAUUUUGGCCAGUUGGCAAUCCUACUAGAUUUACUUAGGCGCACAUCAAAAAUGUGUAUUAUACAUGUACAUAAGAUAUAAUGCUAAAUAUCUUUUUAUAGUUGUCUCAUAUUACAUAAAAAGAGUUAAAGUACUCUCUCUCUCUUUGCUUGAAAACUAUGUAUCCAUUUCAUCAUGCAUUUUUUGGUGAAGCUACUAUGUUUUUGUAAUUUUUUUUUAUAUUGAGGAGGAAUAGAGGCUAAAGUACCUCCAAUUUGUUCAAGAGGCUUUAGCUCAUGCCACAGUUUGCUUCACAUACCUCUAUUGUUAGCUUCCAUACAAUAUGUUGUGUGUUUCGUUGCUGCAAGUUUGUAAUUUUACUUGCUACUUGAUUAUAAAAAUGUAAAACAAAAUCCGUCUGUGAUUACAAAUUUGUAUUCAAGUUUAGACGUUUUUCUAGUGUAAGACAUAUGUUGCAUAGGCAUGUAAAUGGUACAAAUUGUUUCUGGUUUUGGACAAUAAGCUUUUGAGUUUUACUAUCCUUGCAAGAGGACUGUGACUCAAGCGAACAAAUUUAGUGUUUGGGGAAUAGAGUUUGGUUCUCUUUAAUACAUAAUUUAACAAAGGCCUACAAAUUUUCCUUGAAGGAAUAUGCAAAUGUGUUCUCCGCAACUUGGCCUGCAGUUUAUGUGAAGGGGCAUUAAUGUGUGUUAUUUGCUUUCGUAAAAUGUGUGUUAUCUGCAUUGGUGCAUUUGAGGGUGUGAUUACCUUCCUACCAAAUGCGAUGGCAAGUGCCUUCGCCCAUAAGCGGUAGGUCUCGGGUUCGAGACUUGGGAGUAGCCUCUCCAUAAAUGGGGGUAAGGCUAGCCGACAUUCACCUCUCCCAGACCCUGCGUAAAGCGGGAGCCUUGUGCACUGGGUACGACAUUUUUUUAUUGUGACUAAUACAUUCAAUGCCCGUAACGAAGUGCGAACAGAUUUUCUAGUAUGUUCUAAUGUAUAGAACAAAAUUCAUGUCCUCAGAUUAAUUUUUUGAAAAUAUAUAUUACAGUAAACAGUGAAGCCAUGUCUUGACUAGUAUAUAUCAAACACGCUCACGGUUUGCAAAAGACAGACCGUUUGACCAUUUCAUAUGAUUAUUCAAAUUAGUCACUUUUACUUAACUUGUGCACGUACAAGAUUAUGGUUCGGUUCUUUGCACCAGAAGAAACCAAUGCAAACCAGAGCAGAAAAGCAUGAAAACACAUAAUUACUUUAUGUGCAGAACGUACCCAGAUGUAUUUCUACCAAAAGUAAAAUUCAUAAAUAACUUAGUUGACAUACAAGAUCUACCCCAAUCAAACAAACAGUUGUUCAUGCCAAGCAUUGAAACCUUUUUGUAUGAAUGAUUUGAUUCCAAAUUUCAACCAAAAGUUAUAACUGCACCACCGCGCGCACGCCACACUGAAAAGGUAUAUACGGCCGGGCAGUGUAGAAAAUCUCAUCUCAAUGUGAUAAAACCUUAACAGUUAAUAAGUUCCAAACCAUUUGACAUCAUCAAUAUCUCAUAUUAGAGAAACGCCCUUCUUCCAAAUGAUGGCCAGAUUUGUCAUCUUAUGAUGUCAAUUUUUCUUCUCUUUGAUUUUUUCACAUAAUUUUCUAAUUGUCCCAUAAAAAAUUUGUCUUUAGAUUGUUAGAGUAAUAUUUGAAAAUACGAAAAUAAUACAAGAAUUUCAAUGAUAAUAAUCAUAAUGAAAAUUGUUGAUGCACAAAAUCAGUAGGGACUUUGGUACAACAGAAAAUGUUAAGUUUGUGACAUUCGCUAGAUUGAUCCGGUCGCUAGUGUGGAUAAGUAUGUAAAUGGAUAGAGACAGGGAAGCAAACACAAGAUGUAAGUGGUUCACCUAGAUUGGCUACGUCCACGGAGUAGAAGAGUUCUCAUUAAUUGUGAAGGGUUUACACAAGUACAUAGGUUCAAGCUCUCAUUUAGUGAGUACAAGUGAAUGAUUUAGUACAAAUGACAUUCGGAAAUAUUGUGGGAGAAUGAUCUCCUUUUAUAGAAGAGAGUUUUUAGUUUUGUUUUGACAUUGACACGUGUUGUGUUGUGAUUGGCUUUUGAUGUUGACACAUGUCGCGCUAUGAUUGGCUUCUUGAUGUCGACACGUGUCGCGCUGUGAUUGGCCUCUUAGUUGAAAGGAAAACUCUUAUGGGUCCUUGAUGGUAUAAACGUUGACCAGUGCUCGGUAGUUUCGAGAUUGGUCAAGUAUGGUACAAACAAAAAUAACAACAUAAAUUGUAUACAAGAUUAAUAUAAACAACAGAGAAAGGAAGAAAUGCUGACAAACUUGGAGAUUGAGACUUGCAUGAAUGCAAUGUCCUAAAGACAGAAUUUCGCCCAUACUCGUAGUUCGGUAGGCGUUUGUCUCCCAGAAUUUAACAAUAUAUAAUCCAAAGUUGAAGCACUUUAAAAUCUUUGAACCCUGGUGGAAAUAGAGAGGGGAAACCCCCCGUUUCUCAAGAGUAAGAAUCUAUUUUGUUUUUGUAUGCAUUAGACAGGUGGGAUGCUUGAGUUUAUAGAAUUUGAGCCAUCCAUUUUGAAACAUUUGAUUGUUGAUUAAAGUUCCAAUUAACCGAUGCAACUCAUGAAUUUGAAUUCAAUUAUAACACUUGACUCUUUAUUUUCAUUAAAAAAUUAAAUAAAUAUUAUAAAUUAAUUUCCAACGAACAAUAAGUUUGUUAGUAUUUCUUACUUUCUCUGUUGUUUAUAUUAAUCUUGUAUACAAUUUAAAUUUAUGUUGUAAUUUUCAUUAUGAUUAUUAUCAUUAAAAUUCUUGUAUUAUUUUCAUAUUUUUUUAAUAUUGCUCCAACACUGCAUAGUAUAAUCUCUGUAAAAUAACCUUAUAAAUGAAGUUAAAUAUUUUGUCACAAGAAAAGGAAAAUUCAAUGAUCUAAACCAGAAUUAUUAAAGGUUAACAAAUUAUUAGAAUCUUUUAUUUUUCGUGAAAUGCAAGCUAUCAAAUUAUACAUGACGAGAUAAAGAAAUAAACAUGGCCUAGUCAUCAAGGAUUCUUAGUGUAAUACCCUGAAAAUUUAAAAUACAUGGUUAUGUGGAGUAAAUCGAGAAUAAAUGAUUUAUGGUUAUGAAAAAUUUAAUUAAGAACUUUUAAAGUUUGUUUUCAGAAAUUAUUAUAAUUUACAACGUAAAAUUUAUUGAUAAGUGAAAAGAUCAAAAUGCCCGUAAGGAGAUGUGUCCUUUCGUCGUCGCACGACAUAUAAUUUGUAUAUUGAAUAAUGUUCGUUGGGCUUAAUCGGAACGACGAAGAAGUGCGGAUUUUUUAUCUUUUAGGUGAUGGGCAAUAUAAGUAAAUUGGGAAAAAAAAACAGGAGAUUGUUCUAGAAGGGAGGAGACCAUUUUCUUCUUCCGUGGCCGGGGGGGGGUUGGAUGAUCGAAGGAAAAAAAAGGGAGGGGUUGUUCUUGUUUCCGUUUUGGCUCUCCCCUAAACACAAAUUUUAUAACCUUUCUGUUUCUCUUAAUUAAUCUCCGAUUUUUGACAACUUAACUUCUUCUCAAGUCCUCGUCGAGCCCUACGUUUGUAACCCACCAAUCCGAUUUUGCCAGAAAUCACCAAACAAGGCAGAAGUUGUAGCUUUGUUUACAGGGACUGACUAAUCAGUGUCUCCUACAACUGUGCCGCCGCCUUUUUUCUAAAAUCUUUCAAAUGGGUGCUUGGAAAAGAUAACCCAAAACUAUAGAAGAAUCUGCAUGCCACAUGAGUAUAACACUUAUUGCCGUCUAAGUUAAUGUCUCCAUUUGCAGUUGGCAAGGAAUCCAGAGAAGGUAAAAUUGCAAUGAGCAUCAAAAAAUUCAGGUGCAAAUCUAAAGUUCCUGUCUUAGGCUUUGUUUUAUGAAUCGAUUUAAGUAUUUUAAAUAAUAAGAUGCGUGACAAAGUAAUUGCAACCAAUCCUUGACCCUUUCCUCAAUAGAUUAAGUAUGAUUAUUAUAUUAUUAUUAGCUUAACCUUCUAAACCUUUUAUGUAACUCUCGUAAAGCUUUUGAUUGUUGCUCUAAUAAAAAAAAAAGAGUUGAAAGUCUGAACGAUUUAACCUUUGUCUUUUUUUUUUUUAAAUUAAAAAAAGUUUGAUUGCCUAAAUAAUUUGGAGAAGGAUACUAAAUGUUUUUAAAUUAAAUUAUUUAUUUUUAUUGCAAAAAAAAAAAAAGAACAAAUUCAAAGUUCCAUAACUAUAAAUCCAAAUUUAUGGCAAAAAACUAAGUUGUAAUUCAAAAUAAAUGAAUUUGAUAUUGGUUUUUAAGUUUCUUUUAAAUAAUGAAAUACAAACCCUAUCGACUGAUACGGGCGAAAUUUUUUGUGACGGUAACCAAGUCUUGUGGUGAUGUUUAAAACUUAUUUCAGACCAAACUUUCCUCUAGGCCAAUGAAAAAGAAAUAUUGCUUUUCAACAAAAAAAAACCCGUUUUUUAAGAAAAAAAUUCUUUGGGCAUUUGAGUUUUUUUUUUCAAAUUUUAAAAUCAAUUUCACAACAUUCUGGGUUUAAGCCUUUUCGAAAAGAAAGGUAUGACCAGAUUAAACAUUCAAACUUGCAUUUGAAAAAGAAAAUGAAUCUGACUGGUGAAACUUUCUCUCCCCAUCUUUUUCCUCUUUAAACGUCUCCUUUUUCUCCGAACAUGUUGCUUCCACCCCACAUAUUUGCAUUGCUUUGGUUUCCCAUCACCCACUUUUAACCUCUCCAAACUAUCUACUUCGUCCCACACAAGCACACUCCCCCACCACGAACAUUCCUUCUACUUUUCAAGGUCAUAGUUUAAUGAUGGCCCACGAGUUAAAACUUUUAGCCGUACAUAUGGCCACGGAAACCAACCGCGAGUCAAGCUUGGUUCGAUUUUCCCCCGCCCCUUUUCUGUGGAAAAACGAAACAACGGCAACGAAAAGCAUAAGACUUGGUAUUGAGGAAGUUAAGAAGAUUUGAAAAUUGUGCAUAAAACCGGCCAAAACCCAAUUCCGGCAAGUUUUUCGGAACUCCGGCGAGCCUUUCUGGCCAAACGGCAAACAACCGAGGCUCGAGACCACCACCAUUGGACUCGCCUCGAGUUUGAGAGCAAAGCCCAGUAUUCCAAUCGAAGGUCAAUGCACGCACGAUGGCGAACGGUGAAGAAUUCCGACGAAUUCUGCAGGAACUGGUGAGUUUUAUGCAACUGAGCUCGACUAGGCGGUUCAGUUGCCCGCUUGACGAGGCUUACGACUCCGGCGUCGAGGCAUAUUGGUAUCUCCGAAUCCUCCCUACGAACUUUUUCUCCUUUCUCUUUGUAAUUGAACUUUUAAAUAAUAUUUCUUCAUGUUGUAUUCUUGAUUCGUAUGAUUCUUAUUUUUUUAAUAUUUUAAAAACAUAUUUUAUUUAUUAUUAAUUUAUCGAUGCAAGUUUGCAUCCAUGUAGAUUUUAGUUGUUAUCAUAUUAGUUGGUAAUAUCUACUGAAUUAAGUAGUACUUCAUGCAUUAGAUAAAGAGAUGGAUCCGAGAAUUCACGAACAUUCAUUGACUUUCAAGGAAGAGAAGGAGAAUGAUGGUCCACCGCAGUUCUGUAAGGGUGCGUUUGGUACGUGGGAUGGGACGGAACAGAGUGGGACGGAACCGUUCCGUCCCACGUUUGGUGCCUUAAAAUUGUGUGGAACACGCGUCCCACGGAACGAAAAAGGGUCAGAUUUUGGUUCCCCCUCCCCCCCCUGGAACAGGUUUUUCCAUCCCGUGGGACACAAUUUUUUUUUUUUUGGACAACAAUACCCUUUUAUUUUUUUUCAUUAAUUACAUUGUCUACCUCCCUUCUCUCCCGUAACCUCCCUCUGUUCUACCACAAAUCCAGUAACCCAAUCCCUUCUUUCCCGUAACCUCCCUCUUCAUCCACCACAAACCCAGUAACCCAAUCCCAGCAAACCCAUCCGACGACGACGACGUCACCACCGUCACCAGCAAACCCCUCUUCUUCUCCGGCGUCGUCACCCGUCACCAGCAAACCCUCUUCUUCUCCGGCGCCGUCACCAUGGAGCCGUCACCAGCAACCCCUCUUCUUCUCCGGCGCCGUCACCAUAGCCAGGCCGACGACGACGACGACGAUGCACGAAGGAUGAUGACGACGCUGCAGGGAAGACGCUGCAGGCCGCGACGACGACGACGACGGACGGAUGACGACGCUGCAGGGAAGACGAUGACGACGCUGCAGGGAAGACGAUGACGAUGCUGCAGGGAGGACGAUGACGAAGCUGCAGAAAUUGAUUGAAAUGAAUUUUGGGAUUUUUCUGUGUUUGAUUUUGGGAUUUUUCUGUUUUUUUCUUCUUGUAAUUGUUUGCUGGUGACGAGAUCUGAAAUUGAUUGGAGGGUUUGCUGGUGACGAGAUCUGAAACUGGAUUGGUUGCCGAGAAAACGAAGGAAAACGAAAACUGGGGUCUGAUUGUUUGAGUUCAUACUCGCACUCAGCAAUUGUACAAACAAGGCUAAGUUAGUCAUUUAACACGAAAUCCAAACCGUUCCGUCCUACGCGUACCAAACAUAACACGAACCUCCGUUUCGUUCCGUCCCGUUCCGUCCCGUCCCGUUCCGUUCCGUCUGCGUACCAAACGCACCCUAAGGGAUGCCUGGAACCAUUGUUUGGGCCUCACUAUACUUGCGACACGUGCGAUAAGUGGUCCACUGGCUACAAGUUCAAUAUACAUAAAUCAUGUGCGGAGUUGCCCAUUGAGAUCCGCCACCCGAUCCACCCCAAUCACCCUCUUAUUCUCGAGGAAAACUACGGCUACACAUGUGGUGUCUGUAACUGUGACCAGUCACGUCGAAGUGCAUACAUUCUAUCUUACUGUUGUUCUGAAUGCGACUUCUCUAUACACGUCAAAUGUGCUUCCAAUUGGCAAAACGUCGGUCAUGAGCACAACUUCACCAUCCUCAUGCAGCCCAUUCAAUUCACUUGCGGUGUCUGUGGCCUAGUUGGUGAGUAUGACAAACAAAACUUCUACCUCUGCAACAUCUGCCAGCUCCUUGUCCAUGCCAAAUGCUCUUGGUUACCACUCCAAGUCAAAAUAGAACGGCACCAACAUCGCCUCAAGCUUACCUGGUGGUUCCAUGACAUGUACCCCAAAGACCAAGAUUUCUGUGACAUUUGCUCAGAAAAAAUGGACGGAAACCGUGCUAUUUAUUGUUGUCAUGAUCAUGAAUGUCGUGGUUAUACUGCCCACUGUAAAUGCAUAAGAAAAGAGGGGAAAUUCAAGAACAUCCUCGUCAAUGAUGAUGAUGAUGAUGAACCAUCCACAUCUAGACGUCCCCCAACCGAUGAGACCACCGCUGAUGAUAAACCCUUGCAGAUCGAGCACUUCAGUCAUCCACACAUGUUAACCCUCAUCGAUGGCCAAGAGGUGGCUAGACAAGACGGCCAAGAUGAAGGAAUUACUUGUAACGGUUGCACGCUACCCAUCAUGAGGGGUGAGUCUUAUAGGUCAUGCACAGAACAAGCAAUAGAAAAGCCAUGUAAUUUCUCUCUCCACAUAAAUUGUGCUAAAUUACCCCGAAAGAGGCUUCUCCCACUUCACGAACACGAGCUCACACUCCUUCCAACAGCAUCUUCUGUCGGUGGCGUUUUUGAGUGUGACAUGUGCGCGUCCUUGAGCCAAGGUUUCUCAUACCAUUGUCAAAGGUGCGACUACUACCUCGACAUUUAUUGCAGUAUUGUUUAUGAGCGUAGGACUCUCCGUUGUGAUGCUCAUGUUCACACCCUCCGGUUCAGCACAAAGCUCGUGUCCUGCAGAAGUUGUGGUACUCGUGAUAAGAAUUUCUGCUUCAGAUGUGGCAGUGAGAGAUGCGACUUCCAUCUGUGUAUUUCGUGUGUUAAAUUACCUCUUACAGUCAGGUACAAUUACGACGAUCAUCCUCUCAAACUCACUUAUGCUAGUGUUAAAAAUGACCUCGAUGAGUACUAUUGUGACAUAUGCGAAGGAAUACGAGAUCCAGAACAUUGGUUCUACUCCUGCCCGGAUUGUGACUUU
Molecule: long non-coding RNA, 15100 nt
Filed under: Malus domestica (apple)
Lineage: Eukaryota; Viridiplantae; Streptophyta; Magnoliopsida; Rosales; Rosaceae
Description: long non-coding RNA (MDOM_LNC013720)
Source: RNAcentral